UACGUAGGGUGCAAGCGUUGUCCGGAAUUAUUGGGCGUAAAGGGCUCGUAGGCGGUUUGUCGCGUCGGGAGUGAAAACUCAGGGCUUAACCCUGAGCCUGCUUCCGAUACGGGCAGACUAGAGGUAUGCAGGGGAGAACGGAAUUCCUGGUGUAGCGGUGAAAUGCGCAGAUAUCAGGAGGAACACCGGUGGCGAAGGCGGUUCUCUGGGCAUUACCUGACGCUGAGGAGCGAAAGCGUGGGGAGCGAACAGG
RNAcentral lists this ribosomal RNA (253 nucleotides) under uncultured bacterium. Its description in RNAcentral is "partial 16S ribosomal RNA". It matches the Rfam family "Bacterial small subunit ribosomal RNA", at positions 524 to 776 of the family's 1533-position model. The record is from RNAcentral.